RNAcentral lists this ribosomal RNA (375 nucleotides) under Fusarium equiseti. Its description in RNAcentral is "eukaryotic LSU rRNA". The stretch from base 28 to 181 matches the Rfam family "5.8S ribosomal RNA". Lineage: Eukaryota; Fungi; Ascomycota; Sordariomycetes; Hypocreales; Nectriaceae. The record is from RNAcentral.
UCUUCGUUUCACAAACAAAUAAAUCAAAACUUUCAACAACGGAUCUCUUGGUUCUGGCAUCGAUGAAGAACGCAGCAAAAUGCGAUAAGUAAUGUGAAUUGCAGAAUUCAGUGAAUCAUCGAAUCUUUGAACGCACAUUGCGCCCGCCAGUAUUCUGGCGGGCAUGCCUGUUCGAGCGUCAUUUCAACCCUCAAGCUCAGCUUGGUGUUGGGACUCGCGGUAACCCGCGUUCCCCAAAUCGAUUGGCGGUCACGUCGAGCUUCCAUAGCGUAGUAAUCAUACACCUCGUUACUGGUAAUCGUCGCGGCCGACGCCGUAAAACCCCAACUUCUGAAUGUUGACCUCGGAUCAGGUAGGAAUACCCGCAGCGCUGAG